Molecule: transfer RNA, 73 nt
Filed under: Candidatus Palibaumannia cicadellinicola
Lineage: Bacteria; Pseudomonadati; Pseudomonadota; Gammaproteobacteria
Description: Candidatus Baumannia cicadellinicola tRNA
Rfam family: tRNA
About the family: Transfer RNA (tRNA) molecules are approximately 80 nucleotides in length. Their secondary structure includes four short double-helical elements and three loops (D, anti-codon, and T loops).
Source: Rfam by way of RNAcentral
GGGGCUAUAGCUCAGCUGGAAGAGUACUUGCAUGGCAUGCAAGAGGUCAGCGGUUCGAUCCCGCUUAGCUCCA